This 497-nucleotide ribosomal RNA is filed under the name uncultured bacterium. RNAcentral's name for it is "bacterial SSU rRNA". It matches the Rfam family "Bacterial small subunit ribosomal RNA", at positions 21 to 507 of the family's 1533-position model. The record is from RNAcentral.
GGCUCAGAUUGAACGCUGGCGGCAGGCCUAACACAUGCAAGUCGAAUGGUAACAGGAAACAGCUUGCUGUUUCGCUGACGAGUGGCGGACGGGUGAGUAAUGUCUGGGAAACUGCCUGAUGGAGGGGGAUAACUACUGGAAACGGUAGCUAAUACCGCAUAACGUCGCAAGACCAAAGAGGGGGACCUUCGGGCCUCUUGCCAUCAGAUGUGCCCAGAUGGGAUUAGCUAGUCGGUGGGGUAACGGCUCACCUAGGCGACGAUCCCUAGCUGGUCUGAGAGGAUGACCAGCCACACUGGAACUGAGACACGGUCCAGACUCCUACGGGAGGCAGCAGUGGGGAAUAUUGCACAAUGGGCGCAAGCCUGAUGCAGCCAUGCCGCGUGUAUGAAGAAGGCCUUCGGGUUGUAAAGUACUUUCAGCGGGGAGGAAGGGAGUAAAGUUAAUACCUUUGCUCAUUGACGUUACCCGCAGAAGAAGCACCGGCUAACUCCGUG